ACUGCAGUCCUCACAAGAGCUAUUGCAAAGUGCAAACACCUGUGUGUAGUGUAGGCGCUUUAAGUUUUCAUUUGUUACAGAGUGUCUAAUAUAACUAAUAUAGGCGUUGGCUCGCCUGAAUGUAUCAGGGCUGUUUGACCAGGGACCAUAAAGAAUAUUAACGCCGUCAAGAGGCCAGUUCUCCCCUUAACAGGUGAGUGGUAAGCCUCAAAUGCUCUAUUUUUUUCUUGUCCUCCCACGUGCUGCUCAUACAGUGUUUCAUCCUCUUGUUAAGUGUACCAUAUGGCCACACAGCAGGCAGCCCUGGGUACAAGAAGGACGUGAGAGAAAAAACCUGAAUCACAACUCACUGCUGCUUUGAAAAGAGCAAAGUCAUACCAGAGAGAAGCUGUCCGACGACGGACAGACAGACAGACAGACUGGGCAUUAAGGAGCAAAACACGUUGGAAUCCAAGGAAACCAUAGAGUCCUGCAGUCAACCUCCGCUAUUUGAAAGGUUUCCAGUUUUUGUUUUGUGUGAUUUCUUUUUUGUGGCUUUAUUUUCAUUGAGGAUUACAGACUCUGCCGAAACCAGGAAGACGAGGAGCCUGCAGAACAGAGGGUCACUGUGAAGAGGGCGAGAGGAACUGAAGAACCUCACUUAGCCGGUCCCCCCCUGCGAGGAAAUCAAAGCUGUCCAAGGUGAUAAUGCGGGAUCACACGUCUGGUGCUAAUGUGGAGGAGCUGCUGAGGCAGUCUCGGAUGGAGUUGCAGUGGAUCCAGAGACAGCUGGCCUUGAUCGCUGCCAGAAACAUGCACCAUCAUCACCUGCACAGCAAG
This is a long non-coding RNA of Scophthalmus maximus (turbot), 819 nucleotides long. RefSeq lists it as uncharacterized. NCBI's taxonomy places the organism in Eukaryota, Metazoa, Chordata, Actinopteri, Pleuronectiformes, Scophthalmidae. The record is from RefSeq and is a predicted model, not a curated record. The transcript has 3 exons.